AUACGGAGGGUGCAAGCGUUAUCCGGAUUUAUUGGGUUUAAAGGGUGCGCAGGCGGACCUGUCAGUCAGUGGUGAAAUCCCGGGGCUCAACCCCGGAACUGCCAUUGAUACUACAGGUCUUGAAUACGGUUGAAGUAGGCGGAAUGUAGCAUGUAGCGGUGAAAUGCAUAGAUAUGCUACAGAACACCGAUCGCGAAGGCAGCUUACUAAGCCGAUAUUGACGCUCAGGCACGAAAGCGUGGGUAGCGAACAGGAUUAGAAACCCUUGUAGUCC
RNAcentral lists this ribosomal RNA (274 nucleotides) under uncultured bacterium. RNAcentral's name for it is "partial 16S ribosomal RNA". It matches the Rfam family "Bacterial small subunit ribosomal RNA", at positions 523 to 796 of the family's 1533-position model. The record is from RNAcentral.